AGUGAACGCUGGCGGUAUGCCUAAUACAUGCAAGUCGAACGAACACAUAAUAAGAUUUCGCCCCUACCGGUGGCGACUGGCGGAUGGGUAAGACAUACAUCACCUUCCUAUAUUACGGGGGGGACAUCGUAAGGCCACUUCUGCUACCACAGCAUAUAUUCUACGGCAGAGUGCAAUAGUUCAUGGCAGCUUUCCUGUCACAUAUAGACGGGGCCGGAUUAGCUAGUUGGCGUGGUAAAGGCCCACCAAGGCAACGAUACGUAGCUGAUCUGAGAGGAUGAUCAGCCACACUGGAACUGAGACACGGUCCAGACUCCUACGGGAGGCAGCAGUAGGGAAUAUUGCGCAAUGGGCGCAAGCCUGAUCCAGCCAUACCGCGUGGGUGAAGAAGGCCUUCGGGUUGUAAAGCCCUUUUGUUGGGAAAGAAAAGCUGCAUAUUAAUACCCCGCUGUUCUGACGGUACCCAAUGAGAAAGCACCGGCUAACUUCGUG
Molecule: ribosomal RNA, 492 nt
Filed under: uncultured bacterium
Lineage: Bacteria
Description: partial 16S ribosomal RNA
Rfam family: Bacterial small subunit ribosomal RNA
Source: RNAcentral